GCCACUGUAGCUCAAUUGGCAGAGCAGCGGUUUUGUAAACCGCAGGUUGCGGGUUCGAGUCCCGCCGGUGGCU
RNAcentral lists this transfer RNA (73 nucleotides) under Phycisphaerae bacterium. RNAcentral's name for it is "tRNA-Thr". It matches the Rfam family "tRNA". From Rfam's summary of the family: Transfer RNA (tRNA) molecules are approximately 80 nucleotides in length. Their secondary structure includes four short double-helical elements and three loops (D, anti-codon, and T loops). Lineage: Bacteria; Pseudomonadati; Planctomycetota; Phycisphaerae. The record is from RNAcentral. RNAcentral also lists the same sequence under 2 other names.